This 627-nucleotide ribosomal RNA is filed under the name uncultured marine eukaryote. Its description in RNAcentral is "SSU rRNA". It matches the Rfam family "Eukaryotic small subunit ribosomal RNA", at positions 617 to 1257 of the family's 1831-position model. The record is from RNAcentral.
AGUUAAAAAGCUCGUAGUCGGAUUUCAGUAUUAGGCCCUUCUUCCAAUACGGUUGCUAGUGGUCUUUACUUCCUUAACAGAAUCUUCCAUCUCAUUAAUUUGGGGUGUUUGGGGCCUGUUUCUUUUACUUUGAGAAAAUUAGAGUGUUCAAAGCGGGUUUUCGCCUGGAUAUUACUCUUGGAAUAAUAAUAUAGGACUUUGGUUCUUUUUUGUUGGUGACUUAGAACCGAAGUAAUGAUUGAUAGGGACAGUUGGGGUCAUUCGUACUAUGAAGCGAGAGGUGAAAUUCAUGGACCUUUGUAUGACGAACUACUGCGAAAGCAUUUGACUAGGAUGUUCCCGUUGAUCAAGAACGAAAGUUGGGGGAUCGAAGACGAUCAGAUACCGUCGUAGUCUCAACCAUAAACUAUGCCAGCUAGGGAUUGGAGGAAGAUCAUUUUACGUCUCCUUCAGCACCUUAUGAGAAAUCAAAGCAUUUGGGUUCCGGGGGGAGUAUGGUCGCAAGGCUGAAACUUAAAGGAAUUGACGGGAGGGCACCACCAGGAGUGGAGCCUGCGGCUUAAUUUGAUUCAACACGGGGAAACUUACCAGGUCCGGACAUGGGAAGGAUUGACAGAUUGAAAGCUC